Long non-coding RNA from Brassica napus (rape), 3801 nucleotides. RefSeq lists it as uncharacterized. The record is from RefSeq and is a predicted model, not a curated record. The transcript has 2 exons. Lineage: Eukaryota; Viridiplantae; Streptophyta; Magnoliopsida; Brassicales; Brassicaceae.
UUCUUUAAUUUUAGAGAUAUAAAAUCUGCUAUGAUAGUUGGUAGGAUUCAAACCUAAACCGAAUCUCUUUUUUGGUUUGAUUCUUCGGUGCUCAGAUUAAUGUUCUAGAUAAUAAAAUUAUUUUUAGCAUUAUUAGUUUCUUAUCCAAGUAUUACGUAUUUAAAUUUUAGUUCAACCUUAGUUUAUGUAUGUUAUAUAGAUGAAAUAUUAGUAUAUGUAUUUAUGUUUUUCUAUAUUUUAAUAACUAAACCAGAAAAAUAAAUGUAUCUACAUUAAUAUGUGUAACCACACUUCAUUAAUUUCUUUUCGGUUGAGGGAGUGGUCCACUAACAAAUAUGUCCCGCACAUGAUUUUUACUUUUCUUAUUUAUUUAAUUUUAACAAAAAUUUGGGCGAAUGGUGAACAAAUUUUUGUCCUGCAGUGCGUUCUCCUCGGACCACUAUAAACAUUCAAUGAUAAACAUUCAAUGUUUCAGUAGUUUUGUGCUUUUGUUAUAUCAAUAAAGUUGGAUAUCCAGUUACAAACAAAAUAAAGUUAGAUAUCAAUAUUAUUUGGUGAAACAUAUGAUUGGUUAAAACUGAUAUCGUGUGGUCACCAUCGUCUCAUCGAUAUGAAGAUUGGACACGGUUCAUCAUGCAUGUGCGUAGGUAUAACAAAAUUUCCUAAGUUGAAAUUCCAUAUUUCUCUAAAUUACUUGGUCAUAAUGUUCGGUAGUUUUUGUCGAUAUUAAUUGGUGAAACGUUUUUAAAAGAAAAAACCUUAGUGAAACAUAUAUAUAUAAUUUGGUUAUUGCUGAUUCAGCUCUAAUUUUUUGGGAUUGGUAUCAAUAUUCAACAUAGGAAAUCUAGUUACAACUACGCACAUUGUUGGCUUCGAAUCUUUAUUUUACGAUCAAUAAAUAUAUAAAUAUGUUAGCAAAAAAAUAUAAAUAAAAAGCUUUUGUUUUCCAAAAAAAUGUGAGUCAACAAAUUAAACAAAGGGUUCGUGUGAUUAGCUGGCACGUGCAAGGCUCUCUACUCCAUAUGUUUAUCAAGCAUUGUCGUAAUCGUUAUAUUAUUUUAUUUUUUUGAAAAAGGGCAUAUAAUCGUUAUAUUAUUAAGGCUGGACAAAUAAAUUUUUUUGGAUAUCUGUAACUUUACGAAGCAAAACAAAUACUGAUUUACAAUAUCCGUAAGAAAUGAAUCAAAUCAUAAAUAUUAAUAUUUUUAAGAACUGAUAUCUGAUCUGAUCUGAUCUGUUAUAUGCACGCAUAUACAUAUAUUUCCAAUAUUUUAUAUAUCAAUUAUUUAUAAAUUAUAUAAAUAUUAUAUUCUAUGUUAAUUUUACAAUAUUUUAUAUAUCGAAUUUUUAUAUUAUUUAUCAGAAUUUUUAAAACUAAAUAAUUUUGAUUUUUGUAAUGAAAUAUUAUCAUAAUAUAUAUUUUUGAAUUUUUAUUUAUUUAAAUUUUAUAUUUAAUUUGUACGGAUCGAAUUGAAUAUUCAGUUAAAAAUAUGAUUUUUUUUUUUAAUAUUCUCAAUACCGAAUAUUUGGGUACCUACAUAUCGAAUCAAAUCGGAUAGUUGAUUAUUCACAACAAAAUAGAUCGAAUUACGAAUGCCUCUAAAACCUUGAUAUUCGAUCGGUGUCACCCCAUAUUAACUUAUAGUUGAUCGCGUGGAGUCUCUUCCUCCAUUGUAUAUCUUCUUCUAUAAGUAGCUAGGGUUCCUCCUUUGCAUAAAUAUAUACUUUUUGUUGACUGAGUAUAUAUAUAUAUAUAUAUACUUUCUUUACAUUAUUAUAACUUUUUAAGAAUAGUUAUGGGUCUAUGAAUGGUAUAUAUGUUUGUUCAAAAAAAAAAAAGAAUGGUAUAUAUAUCCGAAGACGUAGGUGGUGAUCAAGAGUGGUUGGGUUCGAUGCAAGGCUUGUCAAAGUGAGCAAUCUUAUGUGUUCUCAUCUUGGUUUCGUUGUCUGUUCGACCUUGGCCUCGAUCUCUCAUCGAAACCGACUCCGACUAGCGCCCAAAGACCGUCCGGUGAACCCCCGUAGGAGCCGCCGGAGCCCGCCGAGGAUCAUCCAGAGGUGCUGGCCAGCCACAUGUAAUUGGACCAGUGGCCGUGCUCGUGUGAAGUGUCCGUAUUGGGCCCGAAGACCCUCAAGAGCAACAUCUGCCAGCGGUGGCCCUCGAACCCUUGACCUCCCGAAGAAGGGGCAGAGAGCGAGAUAGUUCAACCACCACUGGACCACUAAAGCGCGGUUCAUUCAUACAGCAUUUUACUCAGAUAUAAACGACUUUAACACAUUAACUCAUUAAGUAUUAAAAGUUUAUAAAACAAAAUUUGACCAAGUUGAAACAUAUUAAAAGAUGUAUUCUUCUAUUUUAAUUUUAAUUUGUUAAAAAUAAAGUGAAACAAAUGAGAGACACACCAAAUAAAUGAAUUAUCUUAUUUUGAAUCUUUGAUUAUUAUAUAGUUAUAUUUAUAAAAAAAUUAUUUUGACUAAAGAAUAUUAUAAACAAAUGAGAGAUUUACCAAAUAAACUGUAUGAAAAUGUUUGCGUGCAGGAAAACAAUACAUCUAGGAGGAAUUACAGACAAUGGUCAAUGAGCUGGUUUAUAGUUCCAAUCAGAACCAUUAUUCCAUAACCAAUCAAUGGAAAUGAAAUGAUUGGCCUUAACAGAUGUAACCGGUUUCAAGCUUUGUCCUCAGUGCAGUUACUGUAACUAGAUCAACAUAGACGUCAUCUGAAUCUUGCAGAUUUUGAACUGUCAUCUCACGGACUAAUGAUUGAAGAAUCAUUGUCCUGGACCUCCUGGUUUUCUAGCUGAUGAACACUCUGGCCUCAAAAUCUCACACAUAUGUGACAGCCAACCUGCUUUUAACUUGUGGGGAAAGAAACAUAAUUUGCUCUAGGUUUUUUCACGUUUGGUCAACCCUGGAAAUGUCGCCAGGGUCAUUUAUUUUCUUUAGUUGAAACUUUAUUUUAGAAGUUUAGUAAAGUUACUACUAAAUCACUGAAACUCCUUCCUAAAAUUCUUAUAACUCUUUAGUUAUUUUUAAAAUUUAACGAGUUUGAUUAUAAUAUUUUUUUUAAAGUAAUAAAAUUAGGCAUGUUUUUAUUGAGUAAACUAUUCAGAGUUUCUUAUUGGUUAAAAAUACUUAGCAGAGCUACAAGUUUCAGCAUAAGAGAAAAAUAAACAAAAGCAGAGGAUUAUGAUUGAAACCACAACCUGUCUAAUUAGCUAUCCUUCAAGCUGGGCCAGUCUUCUGUUUUGUUUCAACCUCCAUAAUAAGCCUUUAGCAACACUCUGUUUCCCAAGAAAAAAGGAAUAGCACACUCUGUUGCCUAUUACCAACUUUACCUUCUUCAAAACCGUGUUUGUAACCAACUCUGGUGACACCUCUGUUCGCAACUGAGGCUGAGGUCGCAUGCUGUGGUCUUGAUGGUGUGACCUUAGAUGGCUCGGUCUGAAAAUUUGGAGAGAAAAGCAAGUUUAGGGUUUUAAGUUGAUUACUUUGCUACUUUCUUGGUGUUCAAGAAAGAUAUAAUUACUUGCAUUGUAGAACUAUACCUUGUCAUGAGACAUCGGUCUAAAGCCGGAGUGUCAACAGACUCAACACCACCUUGUCUAAAGGAGGACAAGGAGUGUCAACAGACUCAACACCACCUUCUUCAUCAAGAGCUCUAUCGUAUCAUCUGAAAUCACCACAAUCUCAUCAUAGUUCACGCAAUGAUCACUUCGGCUCCUUUCUUGAUCACACUUAUAUUGUUCAUGGCUGUACUUACAAGAACCGUCUGAUUGAUUGAUAAACCAUCCUUCUCGAA